Molecule: ribosomal RNA, 465 nt
Filed under: uncultured bacterium
Lineage: Bacteria
Description: bacterial SSU rRNA
Rfam family: Bacterial small subunit ribosomal RNA
Source: RNAcentral
CCUACGGGCGGCAGCAGUGGGGAAUAUUGCACAAUGGGCGCAAGCCUGAUGCAGCCAUGCCGCGUGUAUGAAGAAGGCCCUAGGGUUGUAAAGUACUUUCAGUCGGGAGGAAGGCGUUGAUGCUAAUAUCAUCAACGAUUGACGUUACCGACAGAAGAAGCACCGGCUAACUCCGUGCCAGCAGCCGCGGUAAUACGGAGGGUGCAAGCGUUAAUCGGAAUUACUGGGCGUAAAGCGCACGCAGGCGGUUGAUUAAGUUAGAUGUGAAAUCCCCGGGCUUAACCUGGGAAUGGCACCUAAGACUGGUCAGCUAGAGUCUUGUAGAGGGGGGUAGAAUUCCAUGUGUAGCGGUGAAAUGCGUAGAUAUUUGGAGGAAUACCGGUGGCGAAGGCGGUCCCCUGGACAAAGACUGACGCUCAGGUGCGAAAGCGUGGGGAGCAAACAGGAUUAGAUACCCGUGUAGUC